GGAACGAACGCUGGCGGCAGGCUUAACACAUGCAAGUCGAACGCGUGUAGCAAUACACGAGUGGCGCACGGGUGAGUAACGUGUGGAUAUCUGCCUUUUGGUUCGGAAUAACCCCGGGAAACUGGGGCUAAUACCGGAUGGUUCCUACGGGAUAAAGAUUUAUCGCCAAAAGAUGAGUCCGCGUCCGAUUAGCUAGUUGGUGGGGUAAUGGCCUACCAAGGCGACGAUCGGUAGCUGGUCUGAGAGGACGAUCAGCCACACUGGGACUGAGACACGGCCCAGACUCCUACGGGAGGCAGCAGUGGGGAAUAUUGGACAAUGGGGGCAACCCUGAUCCAGCCAUGCCGCGUGAGUGAUGAAGGCCUUCGGGUUGUAAAGCUCUUUUGGCGGGACGAUGAUGACGGUACCGCAGAAUAAGCCCCGGCUAACUUCGUGCCAGCAGCCGC
RNAcentral lists this ribosomal RNA (446 nucleotides) under uncultured bacterium. RNAcentral describes it as "SSU rRNA". It matches the Rfam family "Bacterial small subunit ribosomal RNA", at positions 27 to 518 of the family's 1533-position model. The record is from RNAcentral.